CUAACUUAGAACACACCGGAGCACCGUGCAACCAUCUCCAUGAGUGAUACUCAAGGGGUGCCCUUAGUAUAUAAGAGACGUGCUAAAGUGGCUCUGAGCUCCACAGCUCUGAGAGCCAGCUGCAUCCUUUCCCCUGCUGGAUGUUUAAGGAGGACCACUUGCUGGAACACAGAUGCCUGGAAUCCGCGAAGACACAAGCAAAAUAUCUCGACCGGGUGCCAGUGAUUGUGGAAAAAGUCUCAAGCUCUCAGAUUGUUGACACUGACAAAUGGAAGUAUCUAGUUCCAUCUGACAUCACUGUGGCUCAGUUCAUGUGGAUCAUCAGGAAAAGAAUCCAGCUUCCUUCUGAAAAGGCAGUCUUCCUGUUUGUGGAUAAGACAGUCCCACAGUCCAGCCUAACUAUGGGACAACUUUCCAAGAAGGAAAAAGAUGAAGAUGGAUUCUUGUAUGUGGCCUAUAGUGGAGAGAACACAUUUGGCUUCUGAGGGCCAGUGCUUGGCUAGGUGCACUGUACCUGCUUGUGUAUCUUAUAAAUAGUAGGCCGUUUUCAGUUAUUAUACCAGAAUCUCUUCACAUAGACCUAUUGGUGCAUUUGUAACUGGAUUGAUUUCUUAAUAUACUGGAAGAUUUUGUUUCCUUAGACUAGUACAUUAUACAGUUAAAAAAAAGAAAAAAAGAGAACCACUAAAGUGAGUUCUGGACCUGCUAAAGUGAGUUCUGCUCCAAGGGGUCCUCCAGCAGAUCCUCCUCUGUGCUCAGAGCCAGUCCUUUGCAGCCC
Molecule: non-coding RNA, 778 nt
Organism: Miniopterus natalensis
Lineage: Eukaryota; Metazoa; Chordata; Mammalia; Chiroptera; Miniopteridae
Source: RefSeq, a predicted model, not a curated record